UAUCUCUGUAGAGUCUGCAUAUCAAUAAGCGGAGGAAAAGAAACUAACUAGGAUUCCCUCAGUAACGGCGAGUGAAGCGGGAAGAGCUCAAAUUUGAAAUCUUCAAGGUUCUACCUUGACGAAUUGUAGUUUAAAGAAGUGUUUUCUGUUGGAGUUUUGGUAAAAGUUCUUUGGAAUAGGACAUCAUAGAGGGUGAGAAUCCCGUAUUUGACCAGUUAUUUCCAGCUGUGUGAUACACUUUCAAAGAGUCGGAUUGUUUGGGAAUGCAGUCCAAAAUGGGUGGUAAAUUUCAUCUAAAGCUAAAUACUGGCGAGAGACCGAUAGCGAACAAGUACCGUGAGGGAAAGAUGAAAAGAACUUUGAAAAGAGAGUUAAACAGUACGUGAAAUUGUCAAAAGGGAAGCGUUUGACACCAGUGUUGUUUUCUCGAAAAUCAAUUACAAAUGGCUUGAUUCUGUGUUGUAUUGACCUUAUCAGCUUUCUUCACUUUUUUCGAGUCUUUCUUAAUGCACUUUUCGGUUAACAAGUCAACAUCAAUUUCUUUUGUUGUAAAAGAGUAUUCGGAAGGUGGCUUUCUUUUCGGAGAAAGUGUUUAUAGCCCUAUACUUCUACAAUCGGAGAGAUUGAGGUCUGCAGCGUAGAUCCUUCGGGGUUAGAUACAUUUGUGCUAAGUUGUAGCUUUUCAUAGACAACUUGUUGACUAUGUUUAGUCAUGCGGCUUACUCGCUUAUGCUAUUUUACCUACGCUUAGGAUGUUGAAGAUGUAGCACAUCAU
This 775-nucleotide ribosomal RNA is filed under the name uncultured Neocallimastigales. RNAcentral describes it as "partial large subunit ribosomal RNA". It matches the Rfam family "Eukaryotic large subunit ribosomal RNA", at positions 24 to 643 of the family's 3401-position model. Lineage: Eukaryota; Fungi; Neocallimastigomycota; Neocallimastigomycetes; Neocallimastigales. The record is from RNAcentral.